RNAcentral lists this ribosomal RNA (629 nucleotides) under uncultured bacterium. Its description in RNAcentral is "bacterial SSU rRNA". It matches the Rfam family "Bacterial small subunit ribosomal RNA", at positions 35 to 670 of the family's 1533-position model. The record is from RNAcentral.
GCUGGCGGCGCGCCUUAUGCAUGCAAGUCGAGCGAAGCUUUUCAGUAGUUUACUACAGAAAAUGACUGAGCGGCGAACGGGUGAGUAACGCGUGAGCAAUCUACCUUAGUUACAGGAAUAGCCCGAGGAAACUCGGAUCUAAUACCUGAUAUUCUUCCUAUCUCGCAUGAGAUUUUAAGGAAAGGUCAGCCGAACUAAGAUGAGCUCGCGUUCUAUCAGCUAGUUGGUGAGGUAAUAGCUCACCAAGGCUACGACGGAUAGCUGGUCUGAGAGGACGAUCAGCCACACUGGGACUGAGACACGGCCCAGACUCCUACGGGAGGCUGCAGCAGGGAAUAUUGCGCAAUGAGCGAAAGCUUGACGCAGCGACACCGCGUGUGGGAUGACGGAUCUAGGUUUGUAAACCACUUUCAGGAGGGAAGAAAAUGACGGUACCUCCACAAGAAGCCCCGGCCAACUACGUGCCAGCAGCCGCGGUAAUACGUAGGGGGCCGAGCGUUGUCCGGAUUUAUUGGGCGUAAAGAGCUCGUAGGCGGUUCAACAAGUCGGUCGUGAAAGUUCAGGGCUCAACCCUGAAAUGUCGAUCGAUACUGUUGUGACUAGGAUACCGUAGAGGUGAGUGGAAUUCC